RNAcentral lists this ribosomal RNA (313 nucleotides) under uncultured soil bacterium. RNAcentral describes it as "bacterial SSU rRNA". It matches the Rfam family "Bacterial small subunit ribosomal RNA", at positions 26 to 338 of the family's 1533-position model. The record is from RNAcentral.
AGAUUGAACGCUGGCGGCAGGCCUAACACAUGCACGUCGAGCGGCAGCACGGGUACUUGUACCUGGUGGCGAGCGGCGGACGGGUGAGUAAUGCCUAGGAAUCUGCCUGGUAGUGGGGGAUAACGCUCGGAAACGGACGCUAAUACCGCAUACGUCCUACGGGAGAAAGCAGGGGACCUUCGGGCCUUGCGCUAUCAGAUGAGCCUAGGUCGGAUUAGCUAGUUGGUGGGGUAAUGGCUCACCAAGGCGACGAUCCGUAACUGGUCUGGAGAGGAUGAUCAGUCACACUGGAACUGAGACACGGUCCAGACCU